Corylus avellana is the source of this 440-nucleotide non-coding RNA. The record is from RefSeq and is a predicted model, not a curated record. Lineage: Eukaryota; Viridiplantae; Streptophyta; Magnoliopsida; Fagales; Betulaceae.
AUCAACCACCACCUUCUAAUUCUAAGAGCUAAGCUUUCUGGUUGAUGUGCAGCAUGUGCUUAUGUGUUGAUUGUUGUGGGGCUUUACUCAGUGCUAUGGGGAAAGCACAAAGAGAGCAUGGAGAAUAAAGAAGAGAAGAUAUCGAAUGCUAUAAAGGGUGCUCAAGUAUGCAGUUUCAGGAAUCAAAGAUAUUUGUAGAAUGAGUUUUCUUUGUAGAUUCUGGAUAAUGGUCCAUGGAAUUACAACUUCUUUAGUAUGAAGUAUGGGGUGAAGCUGGGUACAACAAUACUAGUGUUGAUAAAAUGAUGUUAAGAAUUGAGCCUUUUCAUAUAGCUUUCGGAGCAAAAAAAUUUAGAAAUUCUACCAUUCCAUAAAUUUGUGUAGUGUAUACAUUUUGAACCUUCCUUCACUUCUAAUCGAUUUGUUGCAUAUUGCUUUUA